CACCCACACUCUGCUCAUUGACCCCUGCCCAGCAUUGCUUCUGGCACUUACUUGCUAUGUCAUGGUCAGGUCCAAAGAUUAUUGAAUUGAGAACUUUACAUCUUGAGGGUUUUAAGGAACUUUCUUCCAGGUGAGAGGCUGACUGGUAUCUCUCCCUCCCCAAUAUUUCAUAACCCUAUGUCUCCCAGCUGUUGUCUUAUUAGAAUAUAUGUAUGUUUUCACAAUGCUUCUGCCAUUUGUGUGGUUUGGGGAAAUCACUUUACUUUUCUGGGGUCUGGUUUCCUCAGUGGUGAAAGGAGAUUGCAAUUGAUAUUGAAGGAAUUUCAAGCUCCAACACCAUGUGUUUCUCUGAGGUCUCACUUAAAGUGUGAAGUAAGGAUGUAAGGCAGGAUCAAAAUGCCUCAGGUUUCCCCCUUUCCUUCAGUUUACUUAUCUUGAACAAAGUUAACUAAAUGAAAUGAACUUAUUUUCCUUGGAAAAUGAUGUAUAUGUACAUAUGCAUAUAUACAUAUACGUACAUACACAUACAUAUUUAUGUGUAGGUAUAUAUUCUACAGUAGUUUGAAUUUUUAGUAAUGGUGGUAAGUGCCUUGAAGGAAGACUUUUGAUUUUGUAAAAAAAAAAAAAAAAAAAAAAAAANCAGUAAGAAGAGAAAACGUUCUGUUUUUUGACCUCUAAAAUUUUUGGACUGGACUGUCAAUUACAUUCUUAUUAUUGAGAUGGGUCUUGUGUAUGUAUAGAUGUGUUUGUUUUUAGUUUCAGCCUGCUAGGAAAACUGGAGAAAAGUGGUAGUCAUUACUUACUGGGAAACAUCUGUCAAUUUUUUUGUGGUACAGUGUACAUGUAUUUUAAUGACACUAUUUUAUAUUAGAUUUUGGCGAGAGAGCCCAAGACACUGGGAGAUAGAGUCGGAUGACCCACAGGAAAUGGGCCAGGUGGCUGACUGGUAAAGGAAAACACAAAUUUGGUUCAUAGAAGGAUUGAUAUAAUCUCAUUAAAAAUGUGUUUGCUGAGAAUGUAAAUUGGAAGGGAAAUUCUUGGGAUUGUUACUUUUUUUUUUCUUUUGGGAGGAGUGAAUAAAUAUGUGAUGUUAAUACAGCUUGGGUGUCCUUCCCUCCCAUUAUGAAGAUGCUGUCAGGAGAAGAUCACAGUGAUGAAGGAAAAGGAGGGCCCUUCCUCAUGGAGAGGAGAACCAUUCAGCUGUCCCUGUGCUCCAUCCUGUCCAAGGGCAGCUGAGAAGGGAGGGACACAGGUGACAACUCAGAGCCAAAUGGCCCCCCUCUAUUUUUAUUUCCCAGAUGGAGGUUGAAUGUUCUCAUUUUAGAGUCACUUGUUCCUUGCGAUUCUGAGACAGGAGAUGAUGGUUUCUCCUUCUCGAAACUCUAUUUCUUUCUUUCUUGUUCUGUAAAGAAAAGAAAAACAAAACACUAAGAUCAUUUCUCUGAGGUGUUCCUUACAUUCAGAAAAACCAUGCAUGGAUAGAGCUGUGUGCUGUAUGAAGGGGUGUGAGCUGCCCCACUCCUUCCCAGAGGUUGGAGAGGCUGCUGAGGAUACUUGUAGCCUGGGCAUUGGGGGGGAAUGAGGAUCGCUCAGGUAGGUACAGAAAGAUAAGUGUGAUGUGCCUGAGAAACAAGUAAAUAAUCCUGAAAUCCUUGGGGCACCACCCCAGAUAUCCAUUAUAAUCAAAGAGAGAGUGGCUGUUUGAUGCUCCAAUUCAUCCAUACAUUCACUCAUCUGCCCAAAGAUCCACUGAAUCAGUAUUCAUUCAUGAGCUCUUUUCUGUGUUGGGCACAGAUGCUCUGUGAGCAAACAAAAUAUGUCUACUAAGGGAAGAUGCGGUAACAAUAGCUUUGGCUCUGAGGUUUACAAUUUGCCUGACAUCGUGCUAAGUUAUUUACAGGCAUCAUUUCAUUUAAUCAUCCUUAUGACCCUAUUUUUUCAGAUGAGAAAACUGAGAUGCUGAGACUCUUAUGAGGCUUGCUCAAGAUCACAAGAUUGCAAGUGACAGAGCUAGUCAGUGUCAGAGUAAGAUUUGAACUUGGAACUGUCUUACUCUGGAACUUCCCAGAAAGAGGUCAUUGCACUAGAAAAUGAUCAAUAUAAAAAUGAAGCAUACCUGGGGAUGGAGGAAUCAAAGGAGAGGGAUUUGAUCCACUUUUGCAGGGGGGGUGUCAAGAAAGGCAUUUUGGACAUAGUGGUUCUUGAGGUUAACAUUAAACUAUGGACCUGAAAGAGAAGAUGGAGGGACUGUUGGAGAUUCUAGGCAGAAGGAAUAACUUGUGAAAACCAAGUGUGUGGGAGGAAUUACAAAUGCUUCUCUGUUUCUGAAACAUAACCAACAGUGCAAGGAGUGGUGGGAGAUAACCCAGUGAGGUGGGGUGGGGCCAGAUCAUGGCAGCUCUUUUAGAGUCUACAAUGGAUACAAUGCCAAAUGAUGAGUUUGGAUCUGUGCAGGAGUCUAGGAAAAAUGGACAUAGCAGGUGCAGUGGGAUGGGAAGGAGGGAAGAGGGGGAAGAUCUGAUGACUGAUUGGGUGGACAGAGGGAAUGAAAAAAAUGGAGAUGGUUACGAUGCUUCUCAGAAUUUUAGAUUGGUGUGUGGGAGUUCCCAUUGUGGCUCAGAGGGUUAAGAACCUGAUGCAGUCUCUGUGAGGAUGCAGACUUGAUCCCCGGCCUUGCUCAGUGGGUUAAGGAUCCAGCAUUGCCACAAGCUGUGGCAUAGGUUGUAAAUGUGGCUCGAAUCUGACAUUGCCAUAGCUGUAGCUCUGAUUCAAGCCCUAGCCUGGGAACUUCCAUAUGCCACAGGUGUGGCC
RNAcentral lists this long non-coding RNA (2811 nucleotides) under Sus scrofa (pig). RNAcentral's name for it is "lncRNA (ENSSSCG00055018002.1)". The record is from RNAcentral. Lineage: Eukaryota; Metazoa; Chordata; Mammalia; Artiodactyla; Suidae.